RNAcentral lists this transfer RNA (74 nucleotides) under Planctomycetaceae bacterium. RNAcentral's name for it is "tRNA-Val". It matches the Rfam family "tRNA". From Rfam's summary of the family: Transfer RNA (tRNA) molecules are approximately 80 nucleotides in length. Their secondary structure includes four short double-helical elements and three loops (D, anti-codon, and T loops). Lineage: Bacteria; Pseudomonadati; Planctomycetota; Planctomycetia; Planctomycetales; Planctomycetaceae. The record is from RNAcentral.
GGGCGAUUAGCUCAGUUGGUUAGAGCGCCGUGUUCACACCGCGGAGGUCACCUGUUCGAGUCAGGUAUCGCCCA